RNAcentral lists this long non-coding RNA (3435 nucleotides) under Homo sapiens (human). RNAcentral describes it as "HSALNT0399869". Lineage: Eukaryota; Metazoa; Chordata; Mammalia; Primates; Hominidae. The record is from RNAcentral.
GGACUGGCUCUGGCCUCGCCGGCUGCAGGAGCGCCUCGCGGGGCCGCCCGCCUAUUCCAUGGUCGGCGCGAUGGGGGCCGGGGCCGGGCCGGAGCGAACAGGGAGCACCGAGCGAGCUGGGAGCAUGAGCUAGCGCAGCUCCCGGCAGCCUGCAGCGGCGAGGCUGGUCGGGCCAGGGUUGGCGGGGGGCAGUGCCUGGGACACAGCCCGGCGCUGGCCGGCAUGGCGGGGAGGGGGCGCGCUGGGAGGAGACUGGGCUGGGGAGGGAUCCCUGUGUGCAGUCCUUCAACCCUUCUGUGCCAGGGGAAGAGGGACGGCGCAGGGGGCCCCCUCUCGGGAAGCACACACGCUGCCUCCCAGAGGCCGAUCUUCACCAAGAAGGAUUCGCUGGAAACUUUCGGAAAACCGAGGGGCUCUUCAGCCUCCUCUCUACGUGCUACCUGGAGUCGGGGCGCCGCGAGUGCGCUUGGCUGCCCGCGCCCAGCCUCUGGCCUCGCCUCUUCUCGCGGGCCUCCCGGGUUUCCCUCUGCCCCCUUGCGGGGAUCCCCCUGUGCGCCCGACUCGGGAUCUGGAACAGGCCUCCCCAGAGGCUGUUAGUUCCAUAAGGGUGUCCGGCUCCCCCCUCUGUCUUGGGCUCACACUUCGCUUUCUGUUCGUGCUGGACCAAGUCCAAUACUGUGGCUGAUCGAAGUGGGGACAGCUGGCACGGUCCCUGGAGAGGCGGCCUGAAGAGGCUUCUGGCCUUGUGCAGUCUUUGGAAGCUCCCUCCAGAAACCGAACUGUGAAAGGAGCAAGAGUUGAAAUGAAGAAUGUGCUCUGAUACUUCAGUCUGAGAGUAUUUCUUUCCUGGAGAGAGAGGCAUCACUCCUAGAUGUGUGGGGGUCUUCACCCUUUCAGGAAUAAGACAGGUGUCUUUACAGAGCACCUCCCCACCUUGGGCUGGGUUCUGGGGUCACUGUCUACUCCCCCUGUUUUGACCUUCCAUAAACAUUCUGUUUUCAGGUCCCUGCAGAGACUUUGGACCUGAUGUGGUGAAUAAAGUUGGUUAGUCUUUCUCACAGUUCUACCUUUAGGACAAAGAAUAGAAAGCCUCCCGUGACUAUAUUCACUAACUCUCAGCCCAGGCCAGAUCAUCCACCAGCCAGUGAAAGGGACCUCGUCUGUGGCCAAACUAGGUGCAGCUCGGUGCCCUCCUGUGAUAUUUCCAGCUCUCCAGCCUCCUGCUGACCACAGCUCACAGACCUCAUGGAGUAGUUUCCAGGACAAAGCAAGGUUAUGUCUCCACAACACCAAACAUUCCCAGGUGUGGCAGGCAAGCCAUUGAUUUAGAAGAGAGGAGGAGAGAGGAAGAGAAAACCAGAAAAGGCACUUUCUUGGUAAAGAGACAUCAGCUUUCUCACCAUGGCUGUUUCAUAACACAAGGAGACCUGGCCCAAGCUCAGAGGGGAAAGACCCCUGGGUGUUCAUGGAAAACCUUUAAGCACAGUGAGACCAAAUGUUAGUAGAUGGGGGAUAAAAGGGAGAAAUUCAUGGAGUAUGCCUAGAACAGGCCUUGUAUGCAGCAUCCCCUUCUUGCCUAGGACUUGAAGGGCCAGGCUUCCUGUCAUUGCCUCACUCAAAUGUAGCCCAGGAAGACAUUAGACUGAUAGCACUGAUCACCUCCAGACAAAACCCCUGCACCUGCACAGUCACAUAGACUUGGACAAAAGCCCAUCCUUACUAAGGAAGACCUAACAACUAUUUCUUCUCACGCCCAUUCUUGUCCACCGUCUUUAUCAAAAAGCCAGGAAAACUGCUUCUUCAGACACUUUCUGAGCCGGCUGUAUUUUGAAGGACAAAAAAAAAAAAAUUACUCUUUUGAGAGCAUUGUGUCUGCAAGGUGGGCUCACGUUAUUUUUGGUGAUCAGUUUAUGACUGGAGUUCAAAUAGACUGCUUAUUUUAUAAGAGUUUUUAAUUUUGAAUAUUCUUUUUGCUGAACUGUGUGCAUUUGUUUGGUUUUUAACUCACCACAUGAAUAUGACUAUAGAUUUUUUUUUCCUAGUUGACCAUGGUCAGAUUCACAAUUGCCUUUAAAAAAAAUUUGUUGGCUGGGCACGGUGGCUCACGCCUGUAAUCCCAACACUUUAGGAGGCUGAAGCAGGUGGAUCAUCUGAGGUCAGAAGUUCGAGGCCAACCUGGCCAACAUGGUGAAACUCCGUCUCUACUAAAAAUACAAAAAUUAGCCAGGCAGGGUGGCGCAUGCCUGUAAUCCCAGCUACUCAGGAGGCUAAGGCAGGAGACUCUCUUGAACCCGGAAGGUGGAGGUUGCAGUGAGCCGAGAUCACGACACUGCACUCCAGCCUGGGUGGCAGAGCGAGACUCUGUCUCAGAAGAAAAAAAAAAAAAAAAGAAAAUGUGUUGAAGUAUAACAUACAUGAGGCAAAACGCACACAGCUUAAGCAUUAACUCAAUGACUCUGUAUAUACGUAUACAUCCUCACAGGUUCCAGACCAAGACAUGGAACAUUUCCUGCUCUCCCUGAAAGUCUCCCUGUGCCAGCCCCUCACCAGGCAAUAAUUCCCCAGAGAUAGUGCCUCUUCCCAACCCUGUACCCUAGAUCAUUGUUGCCUGUCCUUGAACCUCAGAUAAAGGGAGGCUCCUUUUGCCCAUCUUCGUUUUUGUGAUGUCUGUCCAUUGUGGUGUGCAUAGCUGUGAUUUGUUCUUUUUCACACUGUGAAGGUGUAGGUGGUUUUCACCUGAUGCUUCAGUUCCCUUCCAACUUUAGUAUAAGCCAAGAAUAAUCAAACCACUACAUCUGGAUCAGAGACAAAUGACCUCCCAGAUUGGCUAGUUUUGUAAGGAACUUCAGUUGAAAUUGAAACAGUCAUCAGCUGCUUCUCAAACCAGCUACACUACAUAAGGAGGAGCCCAAGGGAAACUGCAGGACAACAGGUCCACUGGGAAACUUCAGGGGGCCAAGCUGUCAAAGACAAGCACAGAAAAAUUCCUGCAAUGUGCGUUAGACCUUGAGGCAGCUUUUAAUGGCAAAAGUCAGUACAACCCAUUUCCUUUUUCUCUAAAUGAGAGGAAAGUAGAAUAGGUUCCAUCAGGAAAGAGUCACACCCAGGCCAUGACAAACUCAUGGAGGAUCCUGUCAAUCAAAUUCCUUUCUGCUGGGCAGAAAAAGUAUGUGGGAGCUUGUUAGUAAGGUGCAUUCCCAACCUAUCCUGAGGAUGUGGGACUCAGGAAGCCCAACAAUCUGCCCUAUUUACAAGGUCCCAGGUAUCCUUUCAUAUUAAGAUUUGAGACCUGCUGUUUCAGAGAAAGGGACAGCUUGGCAUGUAUUUUUUGGUAAAUCCUGGAGGGCAAGUCUAAAAAGCAAAAAAUAUACCGCCCAGCACCUAUUUGUUGAUAUUUUAAAUUGACUUGUUUGGGGUGUUUGGAAGAAAUAAAGA